UGGGAUUAGAUACCCCACUAUGCUUAGCCCUUAACAUAGACAAUAAAAACACAAUAUUGUCCGCCAGAGAACUACAAGUGAAAAACUAGAAACUCCAAGGACUUGGCGGUGCCCCACAUCAACCUAGAGGAGCCUGUCCUAUAAUCGAUAAUCCACGCUGCACCUUACCAUUUCUAGNCAACUCAGCCUAUAUACCGCCGUCGAAAGCCUACCUUAUGAAAGAAUCAAAGUAAGCAAAAUAGUCAACAACUAAAACGUCAGGUCAAGGUGUAGCACAUGAAAUGGAAGAGAUGGGCUACAUUUUCUACCUUAGAAAACACGAACAGCACAAUGAAACCUGCACUCAAAGGCGGAUUUAGCAGUAAGACAAAAAAGAAACUUUGCCUUAAACACGCUCUGGGGCGCGCACACACCGC
RNAcentral lists this ribosomal RNA (416 nucleotides) under Psychosaura macrorhyncha. RNAcentral describes it as "partial 12S ribosomal RNA". It matches the Rfam family "Bacterial small subunit ribosomal RNA", at positions 773 to 1393 of the family's 1533-position model. Lineage: Eukaryota; Metazoa; Chordata; Lepidosauria; Squamata; Scincidae. The record is from RNAcentral.